ACGGGGUGCAGCAGGCGCGAAACCUUUGCAAUGCGCGAAAGCGUGACAAGGGAACUCCACGUGCAAGCUUAGCUUGCUUUUAUCAAGUUUAAAACGCUUGGGGAAUAAGGGCUGGGCAAGACCCGUGCCAGCCGCCGCGGUAAUACGGGCAGCUCUAGUAGUGUUCGCGUAUAUUGGGCCUAAAGCGUUCGUAGCCUGCCCAACAAGUCUUUGGUGAAAGUCUGUGACUUAAUCAUGGAAAAUGCCAAGGAUACUGUUGGACUUGGAGCCGGGAAGGGUCGGAGGUAUUUCCGGGGUAGGGGUAAAAUCCUGUGAUCCCGGAAGGACCAUCGGUGGCGAAGGCGUCCGACUGGAACGGGCUCGACGGUGAGGAACGAAAGCUAGGGGAGCGAUGCGGAUUAGAUACCCGCGUAGUCCUAGCCGUAAAUGAUGCUGGUUUGGUGUGACACAACCUACGAGGUUGUGUCGUGCCGUAGGGAAGCCGUUAAACCAGCCGCCUGGGAAGUACGGCCGCAAGGCUGAAACUUAAAGGAAUUGGCGGGGGAGUACUACAAGGGGUGGAGGCUGCGGUUUAAUCGGAUUCAACGCCGAACAACUCACCAAGGAAGACAGCACUAUGAUGGUCAGUCCAAAGGGCUUACUUGAGGCGCUGAGAGCUGGUGCAUGGCCACCGUCAGCUCGUGCUGUANAGUGUCCUGU
This 699-nucleotide ribosomal RNA is filed under the name uncultured archaeon. Its description in RNAcentral is "bacterial SSU rRNA". It matches the Rfam family "Archaeal small subunit ribosomal RNA", at positions 325 to 1029 of the family's 1478-position model. The record is from RNAcentral.